AUACGGAAGGUCCGGGCGUUAUCCGGAUUUAUUGGGUUUAAAGGGAGCGCAGGCGGAGAUGCAAGCGUGACGUCAAAUUUCGGGGCUCAACCCCGUCUCGCGUCGCGAACUGCGUCCCUUGGUUGCGGGAAGGGGAGGCGGAACUCGUGGUGUAGCGGUGAAAUACAUAGAUAUCACGAAGAACUCCGAUCGCGAAGGCAGCCUUCCGGCCCGUCAACGACGCUCAUGCUCGAAGGUGCGGGUAUCAAACAGGAUUAGAUACCCUGGUAGUCCGCACAGUAAACGAUGGACACCCGCGGUUUGGCCUGUAUGGCUGAGCCGCCAAGCGAAAGCGUUAAGUGUCCCACCUGGGGAGUACGCCGGCAACGGUGAAACUCAAAGGAAUUGACGGGG
Molecule: ribosomal RNA, 393 nt
Filed under: uncultured bacterium
Lineage: Bacteria
Description: partial 16S ribosomal RNA
Rfam family: Bacterial small subunit ribosomal RNA
Source: RNAcentral